CAAUAGCGUAUAUUUAAGUUGCUGCAGUUAAAAAGCUCGUAGUUGGAUUUCGGGUGGGAAUGGCCGGUCCGCCGUUUCGGUGUGCACUUGCUACGCCCACCUUGCUGCCGGGGACGUGCUCUUGAGUUCACGCUCGGGACACGGAGUCGGCGAGGUUCCUUUGAGUAAAUUAGAGUGUUCAAAGCAGGCCUACGCUCUGAAUACAUUAGCAUGGAAUAACACGAUAGGACUCUGGCCUAUCUUGUUGGUCUGUAGGACCGGAGUAAUGAUUAAGAGGGACAGUCGGGGGCAUUCGUAUUUCAUUGUCAGAGGUGAAAUUCUUGGAUUUAUGAAAGACGAACUACUGCGAAAGCAUUUGCCAAGGAUGUUUUCAUUAA
Molecule: ribosomal RNA, 377 nt
Filed under: uncultured eukaryote
Lineage: Eukaryota
Description: partial 18S ribosomal RNA
Rfam family: Eukaryotic small subunit ribosomal RNA
Source: RNAcentral